CUUAAACUGGCAGACAGAUAAUGCUAGAGCCCAUAAUCAUUUCUUGAAGAAGAUAGAUGAAAAGAUUGACAAGAUCUAUACCCAAGUAAGCACAAAUGAUGAAAGGUUACAAUAUCUGUCUGAAAGGAUGAAGA
RNAcentral lists this microRNA precursor (134 nucleotides) under Glycine max (soybean). RNAcentral describes it as "miR10439 stem-loop (gma-MIR10439)". Lineage: Eukaryota; Viridiplantae; Streptophyta; Magnoliopsida; Fabales; Fabaceae. The record is from miRBase by way of RNAcentral.